UAGGGAAUAUUGGACAAUGGGUGAGAGCCUGAUCCAGCCAUGCCGCGUGCAGGAAGAAGGCGUUAUGCGUUGUAAACUGCUUUUUGCCAGGGGAUAAAAUGACCGUGCGCGGUUAAUUGAAGGUACCUGGUGAAUAAGCCACGGCUAACUACGUGCCAGCAGCCGCGGUAAUACGUAGGUGGCAAGCGUUGUCCGGAUUUAUUGGGUUUAAAGGGUGCGUAGGUGGCCCUGUAAGUCAGUGGUGAAAUAUCUCAGCUUAACUGAGAGGGUGCCAUUGAUACUGCAGGGCUUGAGUACAGAUGAGGUAGGCGGAAUUGACGGUGUAGCGGUGAAAUGCGUAGAUAUCGGAAGGAACAUCGGUGGCGAAGGCGUCUACCUGGCCUAAUACUGACACUGAGGCACGAAAGCGUGGGGAGCAAACAGGAUUAGAUACCCCAGUAGUCCCUGAGCGGGCUGGCAAGGCGCAU
This 467-nucleotide ribosomal RNA is filed under the name uncultured bacterium. RNAcentral describes it as "bacterial SSU rRNA". It matches the Rfam family "Bacterial small subunit ribosomal RNA", at positions 355 to 825 of the family's 1533-position model. The record is from RNAcentral.